CAGAGAGGUAGCUUUAAGGGGUGUCUCAUAUGGGUUCAGCAGGGAGCUGGCAGCCACUCAGCUGCUGGGUAAAAUCCACAGGGUCUCACCAAACCUCGAAUUAGCUGUUUUCAGUGACAGAUUUGGAACUGCCCUCUGAUGGAUUUUGAAUACUCUACAUUGCUUGAUUAUUUAUGUAUUGCAAUCUACAAGGCAGGAAGAGAAAUAUGCAUAUAGAGUAACCUAAAUUACUCUCAGGAUUAAAAGAAGCAUGAGAGAGAGGGAUAGAAAGGAAGAUGCCUUCAUAGUCCAUAGAACCAGCCUUCACUUGUGGUGGCUGAAGAAAUUAGGUCUGCCUGAAUUACUGUUGAAAUUACACGGCAGAAAUGCAUGUAAUUAUUCCUUAAAUGUCCCGCAUGUCAUGGGCAACCCUGAAAGAAAGAACUUCAGGCAUCUGAAUUGAGCCAGAGCUAGAUCUACUGAAAAUUAAGGGACAGGUGAAACUUCAGGCCUGCCACCCCAGGGGACGUAUUCAGGAAAAACAGAAGACUGCUGAUUUUCCACAAAAUGGAAAUCAUUGAAUCCAAAACAGGAGUUUUUAAGAAAUCAGCUUUUUCGCUGCCCUUCAACAGACACCUAAACGGACGAGAGUUACUCUUGUGCAUAUUCAGGCUUUAGCACUGACGGAUUGUUUAAGAUACAGAGGCAAAAGAAAAACAAGACAGUGAUUCCAGUGAUUUUUAAUGCUGCUCUUUCUGACGGGCUGGGUGUCGGUGGAAGUGCAGCCAGCCACACCAGCCAAGGAGCCUUCCUUGCUGCUGAAGUGCAGGGAAGUGUGAAAUGAACGGGGACCUUCCUUGCUCUGUUAAAAUUCUGAGGUAGAGUUUAACGUUUUCUUUGAAAAAUGCAGUCCUGACAGCUGUGGAAACAUGAUGUUCCUACUCUCUGCUCAAGAGGGGAGAUUUAUAGACGAACUUCCCCACAUUCAUCAGCAUCAAAACGUCUCUCUGAAGAGUAGCCUGUUCUUCAGACAGGUUUGCUGUGAGGUCUCUGCUGAAACAUUUCCUGAAGGCUGCAGUUAUCAUCUGUGGGGUCGGCAGGUGUACAUUUGAAGGGAAGUGGACUGCGUCCGCUGAAUCCCUAAACAUCCUUCAGGAUAACAGCAGCUUCAGGUCACUUCUACCUCAGCUUCUCCAAAAAGAAGCCUCAUUAAAAUAAGUGCAACAGUUUUAAUAUAAGAAUUCUUUUAUUGUUUUGUUUAAAAUUAUGAUUUUAAAAAUGUGUUCCUAAAAAUGUGUAGUAUAUGGAAGAAUUGCUCAUGGGCUGAAGAAGACACAAAAUCCUGGUGGCCUGUAGGCUCCCCAGGGCCUUCCUGAAGCAUUAUCAGCCUCUACAGGAAGAGCUCAGACACCCCUUUGGUCACUCUGGGCAGUGACACAGGACCUUCUUUGUAACCCACAAGAUAACAAAGGCUUUCUGGGAUGCAAGUUGAGGAUGUAACAGCUUAUCACAGCCUCUGCCCAAAGCUGUUCAGGCAAACCUGACCACAGGCCAUACCCAUGAAGAGGGUCUGUGCUCAGGGCUCGUGGUUGGUAAUGGUAGCAGACCCACAGUGGCCCUGAGUGAAUAGUUUUGGGUUUUGCACCCAUGUAAUAGCACAGGGGGCUCUAAGGCACCAGAUGAAGUGGCUGAACUGGGGUGCUCACAGCGUGUGGAGGGGGGAAGCCCAGCACACGCCGCCUGCUACCCGUGGCCUUGUGUCUGCCAUGAGUUGCAGCCACACUGUUAUGUAAACCCUCAGCCAGCACACGCUGUGCAGACAGACACCUUGUUUGUGUGUGAACUGAGCUGCGUAGGUAUGUGGUGAAGUUCACACAUUUUAACAGGUUCACCAUUUAAAUUUAGUCCCGAAAGUUAGGAGCUGUUAGAGCCCGCAGUCAUCACUGACAGACAGGACUCAUGUCGGUUUUGAAAUGGAGGAGGAGAAAUGGAGAAGCGCACAGCGUGAUGUAGCAAAUUUAUUCUGUGAGAUAAGGCUCAAGUACAUUUUGCCUUUUUGACAGAUUCUGUGCUAACAAGGCCAAACAGCAGCUCUGCUUCUCCUACCACAGAGGCAGGCAUGCCACUCAUUUAACCCUUAGGAGGCUGCCUGGCUCCCAGGAAAAUAACAAUACCUCAGCCCAAACCGUAUUAAGCUCUGUGAAUAUGAUAAUUAAAUUCAGAGUAAAGCAAUUAGUCUGUAUAAAGAACAUAAAGUAUACUUUUUUUUUUUUUUUUUUUUUAAGAAACAAAACAAAACAAACCCCCCAGCUAUUUCUAGCUAACUAAGCACAGAACACUUAACACAGAUUUUUGACUGAACUGCUUUGAUUCAGCCCAGUCAACCCAGAUUUUCUCCAUCUAGAAACAAAAUAAAAUGAAACAGUGAGUGGAUCAGUCAUUUUGGCAGAGAUUUUCAGACUGCUUUACUUUUUUUUUUUUUCUUUUUUUUUUUUUCUUCCAGUUAUAGCAUGCUGAAGAAAACGAGCCAUCUAAACACUGGUUGUGAUUCAAACAGAUAAAUUAUUUUCAAGAAAACUGAAAAUUCUGUUAUAAAAUGAAACUUUCUCAGACAUAUGUAACUUUGUAUUCUGCUCAGAAUUGGUUAAAAAAAAAAAAGAAAGGUUAAUUAUUUGGUUAAAAAAAGCAACACUCCCACCCCCUCCUGCACCCAGCAUCAAGCUGUACUGGUAGGCAGAGGAACAGCCUGGCACUUAGUAGUCAGCACAAAAGACUAAAACACCUGCUCACAGUCAUACCACAAUAUUUAUUUCAGAACCAGUUAUCUAUUAUUUCAGUUAAAGUAUGCACUCCUACAGACCUGGGGAGAGAUUAAAAUAGCUCCCUGUUAUGGCUAUUCUGCCCACAUCUUUUUCAUUAAUGCUAAACAUUGGUAGGGUAGCAGGAAUCUCAGAGCAGACAGGAACUAUGAUGAACAUUAUCCCUUGUCCUUAUUGCAAAGGAUGGAUCUUCACUGUCACAGGCAUGCACUUUUUGCAUGGCAGGGGACAGUGGCAGAAUUUUUUAAUUAACAUUUGAAUCUAUUAUAUAUGAGUGCAUUCCCUGAUGUCCCACAUGCAGAGAGCUGCAACUUUCUGGUUGACCACUGCUGCCUGUUGGGGAGGGACAAGCAUUUAGGGUUGUCUUCUGGGUUGAAGAUACACUUAUUGCACCACACACUUCCUUAUUUGCUAAGAACAACCCUGUAUGAGCUCACUGCUCAUAUGGGGGUUAACCCUGGUUAUCCCAAAUUUGCAGAUACUAGCAGAAGACCUUGUUGUAAAGGCAGGCCCCUUUGACACCACCUAAAGGUGUGAGUUUCUGACCAGCUGCUCAAGGGGUGCAUUACAAGUAGGAUGAUGGGCACAUUCAGCUGAGGAGUGUGAAAGCCACUCUGGAGUAGUAAACCUUCAUCCUUUACAGACCAACAACCAGCAUCAGUACACCUGACUCCAUGAUGCUGAUGUGGAUGGAGGGUCUAUAGAUAUAAUCAAACAGAACACAAGGGAGUCUGCACAGAGAUUUCCUCCUACAAUGAUUUCUGUGGACAGAAGGUUUUUAAACAGGUAGUUGGCAUGAUGAGUGUUUAAAAAUGUUUUCAAAGAAAUAUAAUCAAUGUAAUUGGCUUCGUAUUUUAAAGCACUCUCUGAGGCUUAGUUAGAUUUCUGUUCUCCUUAGAUUUCUGUUCUCUUCAGCAGAGGUGUAGUUUGAUCUCUAUACAUUUGAUAUAUUAUUCUGGUGUUUUACCAACACUUCAGAACUGAAUGAAACUGGUAACAUUUGUCUUUUAGUCACAAAAAGAAAAAAAUAAAAUCAUUAUGUAUGAGACUAACAAUGAAUGUGACUGCUACAACACUGAGCUAUAGAAAUGAUACAGUAGUUUCACUCAGCUAAAGGAAAGGAUGUCAAAGGGCUUAUAUACUGCUCAACUCAUGCUACUGAAUAUCUUAUUCUUUGAGCAAUGCCAUUAAAUUAAAUGUAAACAUAAAAAGGGAGGGUAUUGUUUAACAUGAAUAAACUAGAGUGGUUAAAUAUUAACCUGUUUUUGGUAGGAAAUAUGCUGCUUUCUUCUCAGCCUGAAGAAUUAAGUGUAGUGUUUUCAAUAAGCAUUUUUGUGCAGUCCUCGAGUAGAUAGUGCAAUCUGCAUGCCGCAAUUUAUUUUGUAGACAAGCUGACUGGUACUGGUUAUUUCCAAGUAAAUGCAUGUUGGCAUUCAAGGUCAUUCUUAAUCUUUCUGCUCAAAUUUCAGACUUUUU
Anas platyrhynchos (mallard) is the source of this 4274-nucleotide non-coding RNA. NCBI's taxonomy places the organism in Eukaryota, Metazoa, Chordata, Aves, Anseriformes, Anatidae. The record is from RefSeq and is a predicted model, not a curated record.